GGUUUGUGGCUCAGCGGUAGAGCGCUUGCCUAGCACGGUUGAACCCGGGUUCGAUCCUCAGCACCA
RNAcentral lists this transfer RNA (66 nucleotides) under Marmota monax (woodchuck). Its description in RNAcentral is "tRNA.Ala". The record is from RNAcentral. Lineage: Eukaryota; Metazoa; Chordata; Mammalia; Rodentia; Sciuridae.